RNAcentral lists this ribosomal RNA (443 nucleotides) under uncultured bacterium. RNAcentral describes it as "partial 16S ribosomal RNA". It matches the Rfam family "Bacterial small subunit ribosomal RNA", at positions 338 to 795 of the family's 1533-position model. The record is from RNAcentral.
CCUACGGGGGGCAGCAGUGGGGGAUAUUGGACAAUGGGGGAAACCCUGAUCCAGCGACGCCGCGUGAGUGAAGAAGUAUUUCGGUAUGUAAAGCUCUAUCAGCAGGGAAGAAAGAAAUGACGGUACCUGAGUAAGAAGCCCCGGCUAACUACGUGCCAGCAGCCGCGGUAAUACGUAGGGGGCAAGCGUUAUCCGGAAGUACUGGGUGUAAAGGGAGCGUAGACGGUAAUGCAAGUCUGGAGUGAAAGGCGGGGGCUCAACCCCCGGACUGCUCUGGAAACUGUGUAACUGGAGUGCAGGAGAGGCAGGCGGAAUUCCUAGUGUAGCGGUGAAAUGCGUAGAUAUUAGGAGGAACACCAGUGGCGAAGGCGGCCUGCUGGACUGUAACUGACGUUGAGGCUCGAAAGCGUGGGGAGCAAACAGGAUUAGAUACCCGGGUAGUC